CUGAAAUAACGGUCACUCUUCCCCUCCUCGCGCUUUAGAAUGACGAACGCCACCAACGUUUACGGAAUAAUAAUUAACAACACGUUAAAACAGUAGUGACAAUAAAGCUUAGUAUUUCUAAGAUAAUAAUGACAAUAAUAAUAAUAUAAUGGCCUAGCAAUUGGGUAGUAUUCAGUGUUCAUCUUGCUCAGACAAGAACCAUGGAAAAGAAGGAGCAUGACUUUGAUUUAAGUCCAUCAGUUUCAAUGGGGCUACUCGAGACAAUUAGCUGCCAGAUGUAUGUUUUACCAGCUUCAGCCAAGAUUGCCUUUUGGCAGCUUUGAUUGAAUUACCUUUUAUAGAUGGACAUGACAUCCACACUUCAGUACAAUCCUUUGGCUGUCUACUCGGAAGUAAGUUUCAUUGAAUUCAGUGGCAUUUAUUCCCAGGAAACUGGAUAGAGGAUUUGGAAACUUCAGUUGGUCCAAAGGGAGGUGACCAGAAUUACUAGGGGCACCUGAUGACUGGAGCAUAUAAUUCUAGACUUGUGCUAGAUCCAAUGAUUACCCACAAGGAUUCUUAUAUAAAGCUGUCCACAUUUUAAGAUCUAUUUUGGAGGCCCCGCUCCCUGCAUGAAUGAUCAAAGUGACUAAACACAAGAGACAGGGCCUUUUCAGUAGUGGUGCCGAUGGUUCGAAAUGCCCUCCCUAUGGUGACUUGCCUGGCCCUGAAAUUUUCUGGAAAGAAACAGAAAUUAUGCAAAUAGGCAUUUACCAUCUAGUUCUGCUGUUGUUUUUAACUGCUGCCUUUUAUGGUUAGUUGCGUCUAAUCCUUUUUAAAGUGUUUUAUUUGUUCUUUAUCGCAUCAUUGUGUCCCAUUUUUUUUAAGCGGCUCUGAGUAUUUAUUGGUAAAAGAGUGGGAUAUAAACAUUAAAUAAUAAUAAUAAUAAAUAGCAUCCAGAACGUCCUUUAAUGCAGCACUUUUUAGCUGAUUUUUCAUAUCAUCUCUCUUUGCAUCCCCGUCCUCCUAAGAGCAAACUCCAUCAGCCCCAGCCAGCAGAGUGAGGAUAUACUUCAUUAUGUUGUUGCAGUCACUUGAAUACAAUAUAAAACAGUAAUGACUUAA
This is a long non-coding RNA of Podarcis raffonei (Aeolian wall lizard), 1104 nucleotides long. RefSeq lists it as uncharacterized. Lineage: Eukaryota; Metazoa; Chordata; Lepidosauria; Squamata; Lacertidae. The record is from RefSeq and is a predicted model, not a curated record. The transcript is spliced from 2 exons.